Molecule: long non-coding RNA, 1746 nt
Filed under: Homo sapiens (human)
Lineage: Eukaryota; Metazoa; Chordata; Mammalia; Primates; Hominidae
Description: HSALNT0289955
Source: RNAcentral
CCAACAGCGAUGGCUGCAAACCCUUGGAGGUGGCAUUGCCAAAAGCGGACGUCAAUAGAUGUAAUGCAAAAAUAGUGUCUUGUGUUCAAAAAAGGUUGGGAAAUACUGAGUGAAAGAAUAGUGCACAAACCAUAGGCACACAGCUCAAGGAAUUAUCAGGAAUUGAACAUGUCCACGUGUGCCCAACCCAGCUCUCCAGCACACCUUCCCAGCCUCAACCCAUCAUCUGGAUUCUGAGGAACAGUGCCUGCUGCUCAGUCAAUGCCUGAUGAUGGAGUGAACAGAUUUCUGCUUUCUGUGGCCACCUCUGGGCCACAGAAAGGCCCAGAGGUUACAAGCAACCUCUGGUCUUUGAAGAAGGAGCAAAAGGACAGAGAACAGUGCAAGGCUGGGGCACACAGGGAGAGAAUGUCUCUCUCACAUGUCAACUCCCAUGGUCUCAACUAGGCCUCGGGGGAAAGAGAAUGGGGCAUUCCAGGAUGGGAAUUCCAGGGUGGGCAUUCCAAGGAGUAAGAGGAAUUCUGGGAAGGAGGACACUCGUGAUGCAUGCAUGGCCCAUCCAGAAGGUCCAGGAUCAUCUCCCCAGCCCAAGCCUUUAAUCACAUCUGCGAAGACCCCCCUCUUCCUAUAGAAGGUGACACGGUCCCAGGUUCUGGGAAUUAGGACACAGACACCUCUGUUCAGCUGACCACAGCCACUGGGGGACCCACUGUUGAUCCCCCAUCCAUUCUGAUAAAGGCUUUCAUGAUGUCAGAAACCAUGAACAGCUCAUCUCCUGAUCCUCCACUGCGAGUUUGUGAGCAUCUUAGGGGCGACAUCUGAGGGUCCAUCCUGGUGUUGAUGUGUCAUAGGUGUGGGGGCCUGGUCUGAGGCUGAACGCGCAGCAGGACCAGCCUCUGGCCCUCCCCAGCUGGAAGGGGGGAGUUUUGCACAUCUUGCUCUAUAGCUCACUCUCCCCUGCUGCUCCCACUGAGGCAGUGAGUUCCAGACUGCUCUGGGGGUUACAAGCAACCUCCGGUAUUUGCAGAAGGAGAAAAAGGGCAGAGAAGUAUUAAAAGGAGCCCAAUUUGGAUGUAUCCACUGAGCACUGAAGGGGAGAACUCUUAGGUGGCCCUGUCUCUUUGCAAAUAGCCUCAGGCACUGCAGGCCCCUGAGGCAGCCCCCAGCUGGGACCCUCACUCAGCUCAGCUCAGCUCACAACAGGUAGCAGAGCUGUGCCGACCAGGUAGCCUUGCCCUCCUGGGAAGACAGGGACACCUGCACGAGCCUGAGCCCUCUAGUGGAAACAGCAGCCAUCGGCCAUCAGGCCUCUGCAGGCACCUGGUCCCUCCUGUUGUUGUCUGCACAGCCUGCCCCUCCAGGCCGCCCCCACGCCUGGGUUCUGCCUGCACGCCCAGGCUCAGUGGGGAGGAGUGAGCCCAACAACUGUUUCCCAACCCUGUGCAGACAGAGCCCUGGCAUCUCACCGUCCCUUCCAAAUGCCAGAACCCGCCCUGGGCACCCAUGCCCUGAUGGGUCCCAGCCCCGGGUGACGCCCUCCUUGCAUGGAGUAGGGACCCAAGCAUAUGCGGAAACACUGUGGCCGGGCCCAGGCUCUCUCUCAGUUUUGACACUGUUGCAGGCCUGAUGACCCUUGGGGACACAGUCUCACUGGGUGGCAAGAUGUCCAUUCAGAAUAAAAUAAAAUUAAAAAUUAAAUUAAAACUCAACAAGCUCGUGCACAUGCAGUCACCUGCAUAUUUUGCA